This 3011-nucleotide ribosomal RNA is filed under the name Salmonella enterica subsp. enterica serovar Indiana. Its description in RNAcentral is "23S ribosomal RNA". It matches the Rfam family "Bacterial large subunit ribosomal RNA". Lineage: Bacteria; Pseudomonadati; Pseudomonadota; Gammaproteobacteria; Enterobacterales; Enterobacteriaceae. The record is from RNAcentral.
GGGUUGUGAGGUUAAGCGACUAAGCGUACACGGUGGAUGCCCUGGCAGUCAGAGGCGAUGAAGGGCGUGCUAAUCUGCGAUAAGCGCCGGUAAGGUGAUAUGAACCGUUAUAACCGGCGAUACCCGAAUGGGGAAACCCAGUGUGAUUCGUCACACUAUCAUUAACUGAAUCCAUAGGUUAAUGAGGCGAACCGGGGGAACUGAAACAUCUAAGUACCCCGAGGAAAAGAAAUCAACCGAGAUUCCCCCAGUAGCGGCGAGCGAACGGGGAGGAGCCCAGAGCCUGAAUCAGCAUGUGUGUUAGUGGAAGCGUCUGGAAAGGCGCGCGAUACAGGGUGACAGCCCCGUACACAAAAGCGCAUGUGCUGUGAGCUCGAUGAGUAGGGCGGGACACGUGGUAUCCUGUCUGAAUAUGGGGGGACCAUCCUCCAAGGCUAAAUACUCCUGACUGACCGAUAGUGAACCAGUACCGUGAGGGAAAGGCGAAAAGAACCCCGGCGAGGGGAGUGAAAAAGAACCUGAAACCGUGUACGUACAAGCAGUGGGAGCACAGGUUUACCUGUGUGACUGCGUACCUUUUGUAUAAUGGGUCAGCGACUUAUAUUCUGUAGCAAGGUUAACCGCAUAGGGGAGCCGCAGGGAAACCGAGUCUUAACCGGGCGUUAAGUUGCAGGGUAUAGACCCGAAACCCGGUGAUCUAGCCAUGGGCAGGUUGAAGGUUGGGUAACACUAACUGGAGGACCGAACCGACUAAUGUUGAAAAAUUAGCGGAUGACCUGUGGCUGGGGGUGAAAGGCCAAUCAAACCGGGAGAUAGCUGGUUCUCCCCGAAAGCUAUUUAGGUAGCGCCUCGUGAAUUCAUCUCCGGGGGUAGAGCACUGUUUCGGCUAGGGGGUCAUCCCGACUUACCAACCCGAUGCAAACUGCGAAUACCGGAGAAUGUUAUCACGGGAGACACACGGCGGGUGCUAACGUCCGUCGUGAAGAGGGAAACAACCCAGACCGCCAGCUAAGGUCCCAAAGUCAUGGUUAAGUGGGAAACGAUGUGGGAAGGCCCAGACAGCCAGGAUGUUGGCUUAGAAGCAGCCAUCAUUUAAAGAAAGCGUAAUAGCUCACUGGUCGAGUCGGCCUGCGCGGAAGAUGUAACGGGGCUAAACCAUGCACCGAAGCUGCGGCAGCGAACGUAUCACCCAAGACAACUUUGCGGAGUUGACGAUUGACGGAGCGAAGCGACGUCAAAGCGUUCAUUAAAGUCGAGUUGGCUUAGGGAUACGUUCGUUGGGUAGGGGAGCGUUCUGUAAGCCUGUGAAGGUGUGCUGUGAGGCAUGCUGGAGGUAUCAGAAGUGCGAAUGCUGACAUAAGUAACGAUAAAGCGGGUGAAAAGCCCGCUCGCCGGAAGACCAAGGGUUCCUGUCCAACGUUAAUCGGGGCAGGGUGAGUCGACCCCUAAGGCGAGGCCGAAAGGCGUAGUCGAUGGGAAACGGGUUAAUAUUCCCGUACUUGGUGUUACUGCGAAGGGGGGACGGAGAAGGCUAUGUUGGCCGGGCGACGGUUGUCCCGGUUUAAGCGUGUAGGCUGGUUUUCCAGGCAAAUCCGGAAAAUCAAGGCUGAGGCGUGACGACGAGGCACUACGGUGCUGAAGCAACAAAUGCCCUGCUUCCAGGAAAAGCCUCUAAGCAUCAGGUAACAUCAAAUCGUACCCCAAACCGACACAGGUGGUCAGGUAGAGAAUACCAAGGCGCUUGAGAGAACUCGGGUGAAGGAACUAGGCAAAAUGGUGCCGUAACUUCGGGAGAAGGCACGCUGACAUGUAGGUGAAGUGAUUUACUCAUGGAGCUGAAGUCAGUCGAAGAUACCAGCUGGCUGCAACUGUUUAUUAAAAACACAGCACUGUGCAAACACGAAAGUGGACGUAUACGGUGUGACGCCUGCCCGGUGCCGGAAGGUUAAUUGAUGGGGUCAGCGCAAGCGAAGCUCCUGAUCGAAGCCCCGGUAAACGGCGGCCGUAACUAUAACGGUCCUAAGGUAGCGAAAUUCCUUGUCGGGUAAGUUCCGACCUGCACGAAUGGCGUAAUGAUGGCCAGGCUGUCUCCACCCGAGACUCAGUGAAAUUGAACUCGCUGUGAAGAUGCAGUGUACCCGCGGCAAGACGGAAAGACCCCGUGAACCUUUACUAUAGCUUGACACUGAACAUUGAGCCUUGAUGUGUAGGAUAGGUGGGAGGCUUUGAAGCGUGGACGCCAGUCUGCGUGGAGCCGACCUUGAAAUACCACCCUUUAAUGUUUGAUGUUCUAACGUGGACCCGUGAUCCGGGUUGCGGACAGUGUCUGGUGGGUAGUUUGACUGGGGCGGUCUCCUCCUAAAGAGUAACGGAGGAGCACGAAGGUUGGCUAAUCCUGGUCGGACAUCAGGAGGUUAGUGCAAUGGCAUAAGCCAGCUUGACUGCGAGCGUGACGGCGCGAGCAGGUGCGAAAGCAGGUCAUAGUGAUCCGGUGGUUCUGAAUGGAAGGGCCAUCGCUCAACGGAUAAAAGGUACUCCGGGGAUAACAGGCUGAUACCGCCCAAGAGUUCAUAUCGACGGCGGUGUUUGGCACCUCGAUGUCGGCUCAUCACAUCCUGGGGCUGAAGUAGGUCCCAAGGGUAUGGCUGUUCGCCAUUUAAAGUGGUACGCGAGCUGGGUUUAGAACGUCGUGAGACAGUUCGGUCCCUAUCUGCCGUGGGCGCUGGAGAACUGAGGGGGGCUGCUCCUAGUACGAGAGGACCGGAGUGGACGCAUCACUGGUGUUCGGGUUGUCAUGCCAAUGGCACUGCCCGGUAGCUAAAUGCGGAAGAGAUAAGUGCUGAAAGCAUCUAAGCACGAAACUUGCCCCGAGAUGAGUUCUCCCUGAGACUUAAAGUCUCCUGAAGGAACGUUGAAGACGACGACGUUGAUAGGCCGGGUGUGUAAGCGCAGCGAUGCGUUGAGCUAACCGGUACUAAUGAACCGUGAGGCUUAACCUUACAACGCCGAAG